AGUGAACGCUGGCGGUAGGCCUAACACAUGCAAGUCGAACGGCAGCACAGUAAGAGCUUGCUCUUACGGGUGGCGAGUGGCGGACGGGUGAGGAAUACAUCGGAAUCUACUUUUUCGUGGGGGAUAACGUAGGGAAACUUACGCUAAUACCGCAUGCGACCUACGGGUGAAAGCAGGGGAUCUUCGGACCUUGCGCGAUUGAAUGAGCCGAUGUCGGAUUAGCUAGUUGGCGGGGUAAAGGCCCACCAAGGCGACGAUCCGUAGCUGGUCUGAGAGGAUGAUCAGCCACACUGGAACUGAGACACGGUCCAGACCCCUACGGGAGGCAGCAGUGGGGAAUAUUGGACAAUGGGCGCAAGCCUGAUCCAGCCAUACCGCGUGGGUGAAGAAGGCCUUCGGGUUGUAAAGCCCUUUUGUUGGGAAAGAAAAGCAGCAGGUUAAUACCCCGCUGUUCUGACGGUACCCAAAGAAUAAGCACCGGCUAACUGCGU
This 491-nucleotide ribosomal RNA is filed under the name uncultured bacterium. RNAcentral's name for it is "partial 16S ribosomal RNA". It matches the Rfam family "Bacterial small subunit ribosomal RNA", at positions 29 to 506 of the family's 1533-position model. The record is from RNAcentral.